GCGUCCCCAAGUCAGGCGUGAAUACCCGCUGAGUUUAAGCA
This 41-nucleotide ribosomal RNA is filed under the name Taxodium distichum var. imbricarium. Its description in RNAcentral is "partial 28S ribosomal RNA". Lineage: Eukaryota; Viridiplantae; Streptophyta; Pinopsida; Cupressales; Cupressaceae. The record is from RNAcentral.